AGAGACAUGAAUCACACCCCACCUCUGAAGCCAGAUACAACAAUCAACAGCAUUUUCUUACCUGCAAAACUUGUGUCUCAGAUGCCUCCUGUCCACGUCCAUGUCUGAUAAUUGGACUUUUCCAGUUCUCCUCCCUUGUUGAGUACUGUGUAAAUCACGUUUUCUGGCUGCACAGUGUCAGUGCAUGACAUUUUAUUGAACGCAAGUGGCAGUACAUCACAAUACAAUCUGUAUAACGUUUUUAUAGGAGCAAUAACAUUUGAAAGAUUUUACUCAGAACUAUGCCCCAUGUUCAGGGAGAUGAGACAUAUGUAGGUAGUAAUAAUAUUGUCCAGAGCCACAAAUAGCUCUGAAUGAAGCUCUGACCCAAAUGAUUGAGUUUCCUUUGCCUCUUAUUGCAGAAGCGAGAGCAAAUAAGAUUUUGGAGUGAUGGCUGACCGAGGGUAAGGCUGCAGAGGAUAAGGUCUGUAAUAAUCCCUGAGUUUGAUGGAGUAGCUACCAGCCAAGGUGAAUGAACUGCCAAUUGACUGCCUGAUAACACUCAUUUCCACCCCACUUUGCUUGCAGUUCUUUUCCCUCUUGUUUUCCAAGUCAUUAAAAUAAUUAGGUCAAACAAGAAGCAAUUGUUUAUCACCUACAUUUCCUGUUGAAUCUUUGACUUCAUUGUCAGACCUGAAAAGGGGAUUAUGUGCUUGGAGGCUUGUUAUAUCAUUAACUCCAAUUAAAGAAAUUACUUCUCCCAAUAAGUGUUAGAUCUCUAAAUAUAUGUGAUGUUGUUACCCAUGGUGGAUCUACUGGGAUAUUUGAGUAUCCAGUGGAGGCACAUGUGGAUUUAAUUUACAAUCAGGGAGGUACCAUACAAGGAGCAGGUAAAUAACCUGCUGGCAAACAUGGCAGGACUAAUGAAGAGCCACAGUCUUCAGUCCUGCCUAGGAAGCUGGUCUCUUUCUUCCCGGAUCAAGAUUGAAAUUAGUUUCUGGAAGGAAGGCUUGGCUUUAUUGAAGAUCCUUCUGUUUUACGAUGAAGAUCUGAUGUUUCUCCUGUCAACUUCCCAAUGAUUUUCAGCUGCAAGGCAAAUAUGCAUUGGGGUUAGAUACCACAAGGAACUUUCAAGUGGAGACAUGAGCCCCUUCAGGAAACCUGCUGGUGUGAAAUACUGCAUAUGAAGCACUGCCCGAGGGAGCUUGGUUAUGGAGCAGAGAGGCAGCACAGCUUCCACUAGAUUUGAUUCUCUGCUCUGUAUAAUCAUUUGUGUUUUUGCAAAGGGAGCAGAAAAUGUACCAUGCUAGAGGAAGAAACAUCUUUCAUCCUCUCUGAGCACACAGAAAACAGGAGAUAAUCAAGAGUUUGUAUAUGUCAGUUCUGGUUAGAAAAGUAGGAAAUGAUUGAUAAGAUGAUCUCCUGCAGAAUAUAAACUAGAGGCUUCAUCCAGUGAGCCCAGCACCGGACUGUACAAUGCAGGGACUCUUGAGAUCAGGAGCCUAAUUCUCUUUCUGUGGAUCUCUUUCCUGGGAGUAAUAUUUAAAAAAGGACUCAGAAGAAAUGAGGAAUGAUACCCAAAUCUCACAUUUCCAGGGUGUCGUGGUUCCGCUCGAGUGGGCAGCCGAGCUCCACCACAGCCGCU
This 1624-nucleotide long non-coding RNA is filed under the name Anas platyrhynchos platyrhynchos (common mallard). RNAcentral's name for it is "lncRNA (ENSAPLG00000017026.1)". The record is from RNAcentral. Lineage: Eukaryota; Metazoa; Chordata; Aves; Anseriformes; Anatidae.